RNAcentral lists this ribosomal RNA (553 nucleotides) under uncultured archaeon. Its description in RNAcentral is "bacterial SSU rRNA". It matches the Rfam family "Archaeal small subunit ribosomal RNA", at positions 326 to 879 of the family's 1478-position model. The record is from RNAcentral.
CGGGGUGCAGGAGGCGCGAAAACUUUACAAUGCCGGCAACGGCGAUUAGGGAACCUCGAGUGCCAGGUUACAAAUCUGGCUGUCGUGAUGCCUAAAAAGCAUUGCAUAGCAAGGGCCGGGCAAGACCGGUGCCAGCCGCCGCGGUAACACCGGCGGCUCGAGUGGUAACCGUUAUUAUUGGGUCUAAAGGGUCUGUAGCCGGCCGGGUAAGUCUCUUGGGAAAUCUGGCAGCUUAACUGUCAGGCUUUCAGGAGAUACUGCCUGGCUCGAGGCCGGGAGAGGUGAGAGGUACUUCAGGGGUAGGGGUGAAAUCUUGUAAUCCUUGAAGGACCACCAGUGGCGAAGGCGUCUCACCAGAACGGACCUGACGGCAAGGGACGAAAGCUAGGGGCACGAACCGGAUUAGAUACCCGGGUAGUCCUAGCCGUAAACGAUACUCGCUAGGUGUCGGCCACGGUGCGACCGUGGUCGGUGCCGUAAGGAAGCCGUGAAGCGAGCCACCUGGGAAGUACGGCCGCAAGGCUGAAACUUAAAGGAAUUGGCGGGGGAGCAC